Molecule: ribosomal RNA, 503 nt
Filed under: uncultured bacterium
Lineage: Bacteria
Description: bacterial SSU rRNA
Rfam family: Bacterial small subunit ribosomal RNA
Source: RNAcentral
GAUGAACGCUAGCGACAGGCCUAACACAUGCAAGUCGAGGGGCAGCACAUGAGUAGCAAUACGAUGGUGGCGACCGGCGCACGGGUGAGUAACACGUAUGCAACCUGCCUGUAAGAGGGGAAUAACCCGGAGAAAUUCGGACUAAUACCGCAUAAUACCACGAGACUGCAUGGUUUUGUGGUUAAACAUUUAUGGCUUACAGAUGGGCAUGCGUAUGAUUAGAUAGUUGGUAGGGUAACGGCCUACCAAGUCUACGAUCAUUAGGGGUUCUGAGAGGAAGGUCCCCCACACUGGUACUGAGACACGGACCAGACUCCUACGGGAGGCAGCAGUGAGGAAUAUUGGUCAAUGGGCGAGAGCCUGAACCAGCCAAGUCGCGUGAAGGAAGAAGGUUCUAUGGAUUGUAAACUUCUUUUGCAGGGGAAUAAAGGACGGUACGUGUACUGUUUUGUAUGUACCUUGCGAAUAAGGAUCGGCUAACUCCGUGCCAGCAGCCGCGGUAA